This 245-nucleotide ribosomal RNA is filed under the name uncultured bacterium. RNAcentral's name for it is "partial 16S ribosomal RNA". It matches the Rfam family "Bacterial small subunit ribosomal RNA", at positions 524 to 768 of the family's 1533-position model. The record is from RNAcentral.
UACGUAGGUGGCAAGCGUUGUCCGGAAUCACUGGGCGUAAAGGGCGCGUAGGCGGGUAAUUAAGUCAGAUGUGAAAACUCCGGGCUUAACUCGGAGCAUGCAUCUGAUACUGGAUAUCUUGAGUGCAGGAGAGGACAGUGGAAUUCCUAGUGUAGCGGUGAAAUGCGUAGAUAUUAGGAGGAACACCAGUGGCGAAGGCGGCUGUCUGGACUGUAACUGACGCUGAUGCGCGAAAGCGUGGGGAG